GAUGAACGCUGGCGGCGUGCCUAAUACAUGCAAGUCGAGCGAACGGACGAGGAGCUUGCUUCUCUGAUGUUAGCGGCGGACGGGUGAGUAACACGUGGAUAACCUACCUAUAAGACUGGGAUAACUUCGGGAAACCGGAGCUAAUACCGGAUAAUAUUUUGAACCGCAUGGUUCAAAAGUGAAAGACGGUCUUGCUGUCACUUAUAGAUGGAUCCGCGCUGCAUUAGCUAGUUGGUAAGGUAACGGCUUACCAAGGCAACGAUGCAUAGCCGACCUGAGAGGGUGAUCGGCCGCACUGGAACUGAGACACGGUCCAGACUCCUACGGGAGGCAGCAGUAGGGAAUCUUCCGCAAUGGGCGAAAGCCUGACGGAGCAACGCCGCGUGAGUGAUGAAGGUCUUCGGAUCGUAAAACUCUGUUAUUAGGGAAGAACAUAUGUGUAAGUAACUGUGCACAUCUUGACGGUACCUAAUCAGAAAGCCACGGCUAACUACGUG
RNAcentral lists this ribosomal RNA (497 nucleotides) under uncultured bacterium. Its description in RNAcentral is "partial 16S ribosomal RNA". It matches the Rfam family "Bacterial small subunit ribosomal RNA", at positions 28 to 507 of the family's 1533-position model. The record is from RNAcentral.